UUCACAAGCCUCUGUUAAUGUGUACCUAGUUUAUACUAAGUGAGCCAUAGGUUGAGGAGGUGGUGACCAUCAUGUUUUUUUUUUUUUUUAAUUGUGGUAGCCCACAAAAUAUUGGAACAUACAAAUAAAGAAACAUUUGCGGCCUGUUACGCAGAGUAGCUGUUGACAUUAUAGUUGUGCAGGAACUUUGUUGACUCUAGAGAACCUCGGGCAAAUCACACAUCCCUGUGGCGGCGACUUUGCAUGCGGUUGUCAUCCAUAUCAACUUUCGAUGCCAGUUUCUGCGCCUACCAUGGUGAACACGGGGAAUCAGGGUUCCAUUCCGUACAUGAACCCUGAGAAACGGCUAACACAUGCAAGGAAGGCAGCAGGAGCGUAAAUGACCAACUCCCGACACGGGAAGGUAGUGAUGAA
Pelobates cultripes (western spadefoot toad) is the source of this 414-nucleotide non-coding RNA. Lineage: Eukaryota; Metazoa; Chordata; Amphibia; Anura; Pelobatidae. The record is from the annotation of a GenBank genome assembly.